CUUUAGGAAGACUGCCGGUGACAAACCGGAGGAAGGUGGGGAUGACGUCAAGUCAGCAUGCCCCUUACACUCUGGGCUACACACGUACUACAAUGGUUGGGACAAAGGGCAGCAAGCGAGCAAUCGCAAGCGAAUCUCAUCAAACCCAGCCUCAGUUCAGAUUGCAGGCUGCAACUCGCCUGCAUGAAGGAGGAAUCGCUAGUAAUCGCAGGUCAGCAUACUGCGGUGAAUUCGUUCCCGGGCCUU
Molecule: ribosomal RNA, 246 nt
Filed under: uncultured Pleurocapsales cyanobacterium
Lineage: Bacteria; Bacillati; Cyanobacteriota; Cyanophyceae; Pleurocapsales
Description: partial 16S ribosomal RNA
Rfam family: Bacterial small subunit ribosomal RNA
Source: RNAcentral